CCUACGGGGUGCAGCAGUAGGGAAUAUUGCUCAAUGGGGGAAACCCUGAAGCAGCAACGCCGCGUGGAGGAUGAAGGUUUUCGGAUUGUAAACUCCUUUUGUUAGAGAAGAUAAUGACGGUAUCUAACGAAUAAGCACCGGCUAACUCCGUGCCAGCAGCCGCGGUAAUACGGAGGGUGCAAGCGUUACUCGGAAUCACUGGGCGUAAAGAGCGCGUAGGCGGGAUAGCAAGUCAGAUGUGAAAUCCUAGGGCUUAACCAUAGAACUGCAUUUGAAACUGUUAUUCUAGAGUAUGGGAGAGGUAGGUGGAAUUAUUGGUGUAGGGGUAAAAUCCGUAGAGAUCAAGAGGAAUACUCAUUGCGAAGGCGACCUGCUAGAACAUAACUGACGCUGAUGCGCGAAAGCGUGGGGAGCAAACAGGAUUAGAUACCCUAGUAGUC
Molecule: ribosomal RNA, 440 nt
Filed under: uncultured bacterium
Lineage: Bacteria
Description: partial 16S ribosomal RNA
Rfam family: Bacterial small subunit ribosomal RNA
Source: RNAcentral